RNAcentral lists this microRNA precursor (81 nucleotides) under Medicago truncatula (barrel medic). Its description in RNAcentral is "miR5270a stem-loop (mtr-MIR5270a, mtr-MIR5270b)". Lineage: Eukaryota; Viridiplantae; Streptophyta; Magnoliopsida; Fabales; Fabaceae. The record is from miRBase by way of RNAcentral.
UUCUUCGUUUAUCGAGGAGGAGUAGUUUUAGGUCAUUCUUUUGUGUGGCGUUUGAUUUCGCGUCUUGUCGACUGAUGUAUU